This 21-nucleotide non-coding RNA is filed under the name Caenorhabditis elegans. The record is from RNAcentral. Lineage: Eukaryota; Metazoa; Nematoda; Chromadorea; Rhabditida; Rhabditidae.
UAAAGGAUUAAUAAUAAAAUG